Long non-coding RNA from Ceratosolen solmsi marchali, 320 nucleotides. RefSeq lists it as uncharacterized. The transcript is spliced from 3 exons. Lineage: Eukaryota; Metazoa; Arthropoda; Insecta; Hymenoptera; Agaonidae. The record is from RefSeq and is a predicted model, not a curated record.
UGUUUCAAUCCAAUAUGAAAAGGAAUCUAUUGAAAAGAAUUUAAAGAGUUCAUUGAUAAAUGAUAAUGUACAAAUUGAAUCCAAAAAUAGAAUAGGAAAAGCAACCAAUUCAUUAUUAAGUAAUAAAACAUCAUUAUUAAAAUAUGAAGAAUUAAAUACUGUAUUUGAUACUGUGAACGACGACGGAAGACAAUUUGCACAAGGGAUAUCUACAGAAAUUAAUGAUUCAGCAGAUGACUGUUCAAUAAAGGAAACAAAUGUGAGCUUUACAAAAGAACAAAAAACAACCGAUGAAAUUAUAAUUGCUAGUUCGACAAGUA